Molecule: transfer RNA, 73 nt
Filed under: Armatimonas rosea
Lineage: Bacteria; Bacillati; Armatimonadota; Armatimonadia; Armatimonadales; Armatimonadaceae
Rfam family: tRNA
About the family: Transfer RNA (tRNA) molecules are approximately 80 nucleotides in length. Their secondary structure includes four short double-helical elements and three loops (D, anti-codon, and T loops). Further hydrogen bonds mediate the characteristic L-shaped molecular structure. tRNAs have two regions of fundamental functional importance: the anti-codon, which is responsible for specific mRNA codon recognition, and the 3' end, to which the tRNAs corresponding amino acid is attached (by aminoacyl-tRNA synthetases). tRNAs cope with the degeneracy of the genetic code in two manners: having more than one tRNA (with a specific anti-codon) for a particular amino acid; and 'wobble' base-pairing, i.e. permitting non-standard base-pairing at the 3rd anti-codon position.
Source: Rfam by way of RNAcentral
UCUUCUGUAGCUCAGCUGGUAGAGCGCCGGUCUGUUAAACCGGAUGUCGGGGGUUCGAGUCCCUCCGGGAGAG